Long non-coding RNA from Harmonia axyridis, 1110 nucleotides. RefSeq lists it as uncharacterized. The transcript is spliced from 2 exons. The record is from RefSeq and is a predicted model, not a curated record. Lineage: Eukaryota; Metazoa; Arthropoda; Insecta; Coleoptera; Coccinellidae.
AGUCUACAAUAUAUGAAGUGGAUUGGUUACAUUACUUCUAAAUAAAUGAGACAGACUUCAGUGAAUUUUCCACCUUAUUAUAUCGAAAUUAUGUAAUGGAUGAAGCAGAAGAAAUUUACUCCUUCAAGGGUAUCGACUGGGACAUCAGUGUCCCAGAAGUAUUUUAUAAAUGUCCUGUUCGGCAAUAAAUAUACCCACCAUGGAAUCAAUUGGGAAUAUAAAGCCAGAUCACUGUAUUCAAGGUACUAUAUCUAUAUUUGUGUCAGCUAAUAGUUUAUUAUCAUACGAAAGUUUCAGAGAAAAAAAUACCAUAUUCAGGAAAAGGACUUGAAGUUUGUCAGUUGGACCCGAGGCUUGUUGCUUUUCUGAAUGGUGUUAUUUUCAAGAAUGGGGAGUCAGUGAAAUUAUUGGAAAUCAAAUGUUUAUUCAUUGGUCAAAUUAUUUCUGCUGAAAAUACUGAGCACCAUUGCCAAUAUUUGAGAAAAGGAAAAGCCAGCUAAGUUGAAGGAAUGAAUAAACAUUAUGCUAGAGUCUGAUUAAGUAUGGCAAUUAUGAAUUUGAAAAAUUGCGACUCUAUAGUUUUCUCAUCUGGUGAUAAGACGUUCAAAACUGUUAGUGAGCCAUUUGAUGAAGAAUUCACAAAAAAAUAAUUCUUAAAACUUGAAAUGAUUUAUUUUAAAAAUAUGCUUUACACAUUGUGUAGCAUGAAAGUUUACAUUUUUCAAUUAGAAAGAUAUUUUUCCAAGCCUUAAUUAUGCUGUAAUAAGACCAUCCAGAAUAAGAAAAGUUCCGAAUCAUACAUGUCUGAAGUUAUACAUGAUAUAACUUCCAGACUAUUGAAAAAUUUGAGUCCAGUUGUUAUUAGUAAGAGAGUAAAGGAUUUGCUAUUUGAUCAUACAAUAUACAGGUUGAGUGAUUUAUUUAGAAAUCAUUUUUGUAAAUAUUAUUUGAUAAUUUGUAACUACAAACAUAUUUAUGUUUUCAUUACAAUGACUAUUAAUACUACUCAUUUAUAGUUUAAGAUUUUUUGAUUGACAAGCCAUGUAAACUUUUGAUGGCGUAUGUUUUUAUGAAUUUCUUGUGUGCAAAUAAAUUAUUAUUAUUAUCAAA